CUGCAGUCGAGCGGUAGAGAGAAGCUUGCUUCUCUUGAGAGCGGCGGACGGGUGAGUAAUGCCUAGGAAUCUGCCUGGUAGUGGGGGAUAACGUUCGGAAACGGACGCUAAUACCGCAUACGUCCUACGGGAGAAAGCAGGGGACCUUCGGGCCUUGCGCUAUCAGAUGAGCCUAGGUCGGAUUAGCUAGUUGGUGGGGUAAUGGCUCACCAAGGCGACGAUCCGUAACUGGUCUGAGAGGAUGAUCAGUCACACUGGAACUGAGACACGGUCCAGACUCCUACGGGAGGCAGCAGUGGGGAAUAUUGGACAAUGGGCGAAAGCCUGAUCCAGCCAUGCCGCGUGUGUGAAGAAGGUCUUCGGAUUGUAAAGCACUUUAAGUUGGGAGGAAGGGCAGUUGCCUAAUACGUAACUGUUUUGACGUUACCGACAGAAUAAGCACCGGCUAACUCUGUGCCAGCAGCCGCGGUAAUACAGAGGGUGCAAGCGUUAAUCGGAAUUACUGGGCGUAAAGCGCGCGUAGGUGGUUUGUUAAGUUGGAUGUGAAAUCCCCGGGC
This 557-nucleotide ribosomal RNA is filed under the name Pseudomonas sp. MYb105. RNAcentral's name for it is "bacterial SSU rRNA". It matches the Rfam family "Bacterial small subunit ribosomal RNA", at positions 55 to 608 of the family's 1533-position model. Lineage: Bacteria; Pseudomonadati; Pseudomonadota; Gammaproteobacteria; Pseudomonadales; Pseudomonadaceae. The record is from RNAcentral.